Molecule: ribosomal RNA, 499 nt
Filed under: Salmonella enterica subsp. enterica serovar Typhimurium
Lineage: Bacteria; Pseudomonadati; Pseudomonadota; Gammaproteobacteria; Enterobacterales; Enterobacteriaceae
Description: partial 23S ribosomal RNA
Rfam family: Bacterial large subunit ribosomal RNA
Source: RNAcentral
CGAUAAGCGCCGGUAAGGUGAUAUGAACCGUUAUAACCGGCGAUACCCGAAUGGGGAAACCCAGUGUGAUUCGUCACACUAUCAUUAACUGAAUCCAUAGGUUAAUGAGGCGAACCGGGGGAACUGAAACAUCUAAGUACCCCGAGGAAAAGAAAUCAACCGAGAUUCCCCCAGUAGCGGCGAGCGAACGGGGAGGAGCCCAGAGCCUGAAUCAGCAUGUGUGUUAGUGGAAGCGUCUGGAAAGGCGCGCGAUACAGGGUGACAGCCCCGUACACAAAAGCGCAUGUGCUGUGAGCUCGAUGAGUAGGGCGGGACACGUGGUAUCCUGUCUGAAUAUGGGGGGACCAUCCUCCAAGGCUAAAUACUCCUGACUGACCGAUAGUGAACCAGUACCGUGAGGGAAAGGCGAAAAGAACCCCGGCGAGGGGAGUGAAAAAGAACCUGAAACCGUGUACGUACAAGCAGUGGGAGCACCCUUCGGGGUGUGACUGCGUACCUU